CAUGUGGGAUCUUCCCGGACCGGGGCACAAACCCGUGUCCUCUGCAUCGGCAGGCGGACUCUCAACCACUGUGCCACCAGGGAAGCCCCACCACUGGCUAUUUUUAGAGAAUUUAAGGUUAGUCACAUUUGCAUGAGGAACACAGAGCCUUUUGAGAAAGAAGAUCUGAAACCACUGAACACUGCUAUUCAGGAUCAGAGCAGAUUUAAAUAAAGAUGCAGUGGCAAGAGAGAGCAACAAGUUCCCUGGAAUUAAAUUAUCUGGAGGAAAAAGGGAGUCUAUGCUGGUGACCAAUGCCCAUAACAAAGACCGAAGUAUUGCUGAGAGAACAAAACUACGUUUUCCACAGUGGAGUUUGGGGACCUCUUAGUACAUAGUCAUCUGAUACUCUACUGUGCUUUGGGAUAUAUUCUAAGCAUACGGGUGUGAAGGAUGAGAGCUGUGACCUCAGAGGCAGACUGUGGAACCUCAAGGCUGUGCAGCCAGGGAGUCUAAACAGGAUGGCGUUACUGCAAGGCGGAGAGAAACGCUUUGUUGCUGACAUGUCAGUAUUGCUGCCCUGUGGCUAUAAGUAGGAAUAGCAAUACUUUAGGUCUCAACCUCUGCUUGUUUCUGAAAGGGGACUGACAACUCUGAAAAACUGGCGUUCCAACACUCAGGGGGAGUGGUAGUGAGUAGCUUCAAGAAGAAAAUACUGUACUUCCUGCUCAUAAGCACAUGGGGAGCUGAAUGAUUAAUUUUAAAAAUAAAAGGGAUAUAAUUUAUUCUCUGGUUUCCUUUUUUCUUCUGGUUUCCUUUUUUUCAGUGACAUUUAAAAACAAUGUCAAAUCAAUAGCAUGAAUCAGGUAUUCACAAGGGUAUAUUGUAUUAUUAUAUUUAAUAAGAUGUUAUAUUAGUAGUAUUUUGCUAAGGACUGUAUGUAAUAACAACAUUUAUUUAUUUCUUCAUCUGCGCAUCUAAAAUUUAGUUAUUGAGUGCUUUAUGUGUGAUGAGCACAGUAGUGAUUAGCAUAGAUAUUACCAAGAGGUAAACUACUUUCAGAGAGAUUACGGUCAAAAUAGCCCAUGAAUUAUCAUUAUUCCCAAUUUUGCAGGCUAGGCAACUGAGUAAAAAGAUAAAAUUCUAAUGGUCAUUCAACUAACAGGGACAAGGAUGAAAAGAGAUAAAUUAGGCAUAUUUGCUACUAAAUCUACUUUUCCUAUUGUAUUGUCUAGGGAUUGAGCUACACUUUUUGACUUCAAUUAGAUAGAUUUGUAGUUUUCUGAAGUUUUUCAUGUUCCAGAUUAUAGAUAUAGAUAGUGCACAUCAAAACCCGUCAUGUAUUGAAUUAGUAAAUACACGUAAAGUUAGUUACUACAAUAAAGGUAUCACAGGAACUUAGCAUAGUAUAAGUUUACUUCUCAUCCACAUCCUGAUUUCAGUGCAUGUGGGCUUUGCUUCAUGUCAACAUUUAGGGACCUAUGCUUCUAUCAGAUGUGGGUAUUCCACAUUACCCUUUGAGACCUCCACAGGUCCUUUUGAAUCUGGCUGUCACACAGUGAAGGGAGAGAAAGUGCAGGAUCUUGUGGGAUGUUUCAGGGGCCAAUCUGGGAGAGAUUUACAUCAUUUUCUCUAUCAUUCCAUUGACCAGAAUCCUCACAUAAAUCUAGCUGCCUAGAGGAGAGGCCAGGUGACUAUUUAUUUCUUAAGAGAAAUGACAAAAGAGAGACUCUCACAUGUAAAACGUUCAUAACCUCUUCCCAAGUGAGACUACCCAAACUCUCAUCUAGUCACUGUAUGCAGCAGAGUCCAAGAUCUACAGGAGUGUGUGGUCAUCUCCAUCCUGAUGUGGUUCCUCUUGGACCAAUCAUCCUCUUUCUCCCAUUACAUAUUUUGCGUACCGCAAAAGAAAAAAAAAUUAAUGUUUUUAUGUAUGUACAUAAUUAAAUUAAAAAGUCAGUGAAAUAAUUACUUUUCUCAGUGUUUUAGACAAUGAAACUGAAAUAUGGGGAGUUUAACUGCUCAAUUCAUACAGCUGGCAAUAGCCCAGCCAGGAUACUAAACCUGGCUUCCACACUUAAAAUCCAAGCCUCUUUACACUGAAAGUGAGUGUCUGGAGGCUCUUUCCCAAGAGUAUAUGGCAUAUUGAUCAAUCUAUCACUCAGUGGAGAGUAGGAAGAAUGAGGCAUAGUGAUCAUUAUAACAUGUUUAUUAUUUGGUGAACUAAGCAAUCCAUUUGGCUAGGAAAAAAAGACUUUGCUGCAAAAGGAAAGUGAAGUGAUGAUACUAAGCAAGGUAGUAUUUUCCCACAACAGGAAAAAAAAUCUCAGAAAUAUCUUCUUGCUGAUACUAGUUGGCUGGAGAAAUGUAGUACAGAACUUCUCAGACUCCUUUUAAGUCAGUAGUGUAUCUGGGAAGUCAAGGAGACUGCUCUCACCUCAGCCGUGAGGAAGCAAGACACAUGGACCCAUAAAUACCCUCCUUUGACUUAAUCUACAGACAAAUCAAUAUUUACUUUUUCAGAAGUAUGUGUCUAAGAAAAGGCUCAGCCUAUUUCUCAAGCAGGACACAGUUCUUAAUUCUAUUAUAAACAUCCAAGUAAAUGUCAUAGAUUCAGUGACUUUGUUGAGGAAAUUCACCAAGGUCUGUUUGUCCCUAGAAUAUUGACUCCUCUAGUCUGCCUUCCCAAUUAUGUCCCAACAACAGUGCCUCCUGACAGACAACAAACUGCAUAAACUCAAAGGCUGAGUAGAAAAUCAUUGCUUGUUUGAAUCAUAUACGGGACUCCUGAUGUCACCAUGGCAGAAUGGCAAGGCAGGUCUCAGGAAUACAUUUAGAUGGUCCUGGGCAGGGGACUGGGUCUGGGGAAGGAUUCAAAUCCCUGCAUUCCAUCCAUUGAACUUCUAUCCCUGAGAUGCAGCUUACCGACGUUCCAGCCAGUGCCUUCUCUUCCUUCUUACCACAGGUGAUGGGGAAUCAAUGGAAAACAUGGAAGUGAUCUAAAAGUGUCCCUUUGCCUCUCUCUCUUAUGAGUCUAAAAUAAAAGAUGGUGAAUUAUUUAAUAAAACAUCUGUAAGAGGCAAACAAGAUGUAGAUCAGUCUCUAGGGCAGACAGUGUCUCAGAGAGACCAGGAGGACCACAGAAACCUCCAGAGGUUCUCCUACCACUUCUCACCAUUCUCACUCCACAAGUUGGAUUGUAGCUUGGCAAUCAAUGUAUAUAUAUGAUAGAGUCGAGGCUAAUUUUUCCGAACAGUAUUCUUUUUCCUCGUAAACACAAAUAAAUUUACAUUUUCAGACAUACCUACAAUUGUGUGAGGCUAUAAGACUAAGCCUGUCCAAGGGAAUGGCAUGCAGCUCUUCCAGGAAUGGCUUUUACCACCUCCUUGAUGCCCUCUGCACUCUAUCCGCCUCCUCUGCUUAGUUGCAGAUAAUCCACUGGAAGACACGAACCCAUGGAAAAUGGUGGAACCACACAGUGGAGGAGGCUAGGACACUGAGUGACUGCAAGGAAGAGAGCUUUCCCCUUCCACAUUGCAUUGGACUGGAAGUUAUUAAAAAAUAUAAAAUUGUUUUGUGUUAAAACACUGACAAAUUGGAAUUGAUUUUUUGAUAGCUGGAAGGUUAUUCUAACUAAGGCUGCAGACAAUGAGAAAAUUGACGUCCAGUGCUAGAAAGAUCACCUAACAAGUUGACCUGUCUACUAAAUGGCAAUUCUAGGGAAAAGGUUGAAAGAAUUCAAAAUAAUUAUGUGUGUUUGAGAUUGUUGAUUUCACUUGACAAGUUAUUAUGAGAAAUAAAUGAGGUUAGCAGAAAAUUAGCUGGUUUUCAAGCAGAAAUGAAUCAUAAUACAUAAAGGCCAUAAAUAUAAAGCCUUGAAGAAUUUUCCUAGUACUUGGGAAGUCAAAGGUUAAGAGAAAGAUUUAGAAUGCCUUUAAGUAACAAAGACUCAUAGAAAGCAUCCCUGAGAAGAGACUACGUUAUGUGGAUAGCUGUCCUACUAAAGUCUGAUAGCCUUAGGUAGACACAAUUAUGUAGAAAAGCAGUGGCAUGGGGAAAGCAAAAAGACAUUAAAAAAAGGAAAAAAAAAUAAAUUUUACCUAAGAAAAUCCUUGUUAAGUUUCGAGAGGGUUCGUUGCCAAAGAAACAUGAGCUAGGCUUUUAAAAAUGCUUUUGAUUAAAAAUUAAAAUAAUUUUUAAUAUUUUACAGACAUGAAGCAGUCUCCAUAUGUAGUAUCUGCAAAAGAAGUCACAUUCUCCAAUGUCUGCUUCAUAUAAGGCAAUGGGGGACAUUGAAGAAGAUUCAGAAGAACCAGUGGCAGUCUGUAAGGGACAAGAACAUGAAGGAGCCAACUAAUGAAAGAAACAUGGGUCUCUAAAUGCUGAUGUGAAACAAAGCCCACAUUCAUUGGAAUGAAGCUGCAAAGAUUUUCACAACAGUUUUUUUUUUUUUGAAUUAUUUUAUUGGUAAGGAUACCGAAGCUCAAAGAGGUCUAAGUGACAUUCUCACGUACAUCUUCCAGUCAAGGCCAGAGCCUGAAUUUAAACCUGUAUCUCAUGACUCAUUGUGCAUUUCUCUUCCCACUAUAUCCUGCUUGGUUUUCAUGAAAUUCAUCAUUUUUAUAGUCAUGGACUUCAGCUUCUGACAUGUGAAUGAAGAGAAUCCCCAUGAGAAAGAAAAGUAUUUAAGGCCCACUGGUGAACUUCAACACUCUUCCUUGAAGAAAAUUAGCAUCAUUCUGCAAAGACCUCUGGCAUAGGAGCCAGAAGAACUGGACUAAAAACUAGCUUCUCACCAUCUGUGUACACACUGGAGCCGCAUGUAGAUGCUGUACAAGCCACAAGAUGGCAGGAGUGGUUUAUGGAACCGCUGACUCAGCUGGGGCCAUCCAGAGGGCACUUUGAGGGAAGAACUUGUAGACCCCAUACAAGGAGGGUUGGAGGUGGGAAACCAAAGUCUCUUUCCCCACUUCUUUUUCCCGAGGGGAGAUGCUAAAAGUAAGUCCCUUUUCUUUCCAUUGUUGACAGCAAAGACAACAAGGUCAUUACUCUUAAAAAAAACAUUGGCUUCUUUGGAGUCUUAGUCUGUAUUCACGUUAACCCAAGAAUGCACACAAGCUAACAAUGCUCUUAGUGUAGGAUGAUGGAAACAGCCCCACACAGCUCCUGGCUCCAAAAACAAGACUGUAUGUUUGAGUAUUUUCAUACAUGUGUAUGUAAGUGUGUUGAAAAAAGGGCAGAGGGAUUAUAAAUAGGGAUUCUCUCUAAGGAAGGUAUGAAGGUAAUGGUGAGGGGUUUUUCACUUUAUAUUCAACAUGUAUGAAGUAUAUCUAUUAUGUUAUAUUUGUAUCAUGGAAUUAUUUAAAGUAUUCAUAGAAAUUUUAAAAGACUCAAUUAUUUACUGGUUACAUGAUCUUAAAAGAUUUUCUCAAAUUAUCAUAUUUUAUUUUUUAUUAGUAAAAAUAAGAUGUAAAGAAUAUGUUUCAUAGAGUUGUAUUGAGGAAUAAUGAAUGUGAAUCUCCUAUUAGUGCUGCAUGUGGCUCACAGUGGCUGCUAAAAUACCACUGCUAAUGGAUUUCUACUAACUAUUAAUUAUCAUUUUGUGCCUAUCGCCCCACAUGCAUGCACGUAUGUAUCAUCUUCUAUCAUGUUGGCCUCAUGCAGUGCUAGAUAGCAAGCACGUGCUUAGCUUAUAUUUGUGAACGAAUGAACACCUACCUUUAAAAACUUCAUCCUCCCUAAAUGUCUAAUCCUAGAUCCUGGUCAUAUAGCCAUAUAUAUUUCGAUAUCCCAAGCACUCUAGCACAGAUUCUACUUCAAAGGCACUUAACAAAUGUUGGUAAAUGAACAUCUGUCUAAUCUGGUUCACAUGACUGACCCAUGAUGUAGGCUUCUUACAGGUCUAUACUAGAUUUGUGAGGGCCACAAGGAAGGCAAAAGUUUCUGAGUAGAUGCUUCUAACAUCCUCAGAGAAGAGUUCCCCUGAAUCCUCACGAGAAUGUGCAAAUUCAACAUUCUACUCCCAAGAACACUUUGGCCUACAGAGGAAAGCCACCACUAGCUCUACUUACAAAACCUCUGAUGUAGAAGAGAGGAGGA
Molecule: long non-coding RNA, 6078 nt
Organism: Aethalodelphis obliquidens (Pacific white-sided dolphin)
Lineage: Eukaryota; Metazoa; Chordata; Mammalia; Artiodactyla; Delphinidae
Exons: 7
Source: RefSeq, a predicted model, not a curated record